UCUGCUCUCUCAGCUCGACCUAGAACCCGCGAAACUGAAAAACUCAAACACCGGCCUCUCUCCUUCUCAUCAGCUCUCUCAGAUCUUGAUUCUCACUCUCUCCUUCAUCUUCUCACUCUCUCGAUUCUUCUUCUUAAUCUCUCAUUCUUCUUCUUAGUCUCUACUUCAUCCUUCACGUCAGGAUUAAUGGAGACUCGAAUAGGAUGCGAUGGCCUUGCAUUACCGUCAUUUAGGCUUAUAUCAAUUGCGAGUAUGAGGGAAAAAAAGAAGAAAGAAAAACGAUAAAACUAGAUCCAUAUCUGGUUUCCUCUCUUAUUCUCUUCCUCUCAUCACAGGGCAGACACGUAGAGAACCUCCUUCCAUAGCCUUUCCUAUAGUCUUCCUCUCAGGUGAUUCAGGGGUGGGCUAUGACAUCUGGAUACCGGCCAACAUCAACCCUAAAUUGCUCUUCUAGUGGAUUGAAGAACUGGUUCCCUUGGCUGCGUUUGAGUGUUCACAGGCACAAGGUGUUUAAUUCAGAAAUUGGAGGUGUUUCUAGAGUAAUAGAAGGGACUGUGGUGUUCUGAAUUGUGGCUUUGGUGGGUUUGGCGAGAGUGAGGAUCGCAGAUUCUAUGCAAAGAAGUUUUGCUGUGAUUUUCAUGCCACUGU
This is a long non-coding RNA of Rosa chinensis, 648 nucleotides long. RefSeq lists it as uncharacterized. The transcript has 4 exons. NCBI's taxonomy places the organism in Eukaryota, Viridiplantae, Streptophyta, Magnoliopsida, Rosales, Rosaceae. The record is from RefSeq and is a predicted model, not a curated record.